RNAcentral lists this ribosomal RNA (253 nucleotides) under uncultured bacterium. RNAcentral's name for it is "partial 16S ribosomal RNA". It matches the Rfam family "Bacterial small subunit ribosomal RNA", at positions 524 to 776 of the family's 1533-position model. The record is from RNAcentral.
UACGUAGGGGGCAAGCGUUGUCCGGAUUUAUUGGGCGUAAAGAGCGUGUAGGCGGCCUGGAAGGUCAGCUGUGAAAACUCGAGGCUCAACCUCGAGACGUCGGUUGAAACCACCUGGCUAGAGUCCGGAAGAGGAGAGUGGAAUUCCCGGUGUAGCGGUGAAAUGCGCAGAUAUCGGGAAGAACACCCGUGGCGAAGGCGGCUCUCUGGGCAUCUCCUGACGCUGAGGCGCGAAAGCGUGGGGAGCAAACAGG